This 402-nucleotide ribosomal RNA is filed under the name Bacteroidota bacterium. RNAcentral's name for it is "Bacteroidetes bacterium partial 16S ribosomal RNA". It matches the Rfam family "Bacterial small subunit ribosomal RNA", at positions 355 to 776 of the family's 1533-position model. The record is from RNAcentral. Lineage: Bacteria; Pseudomonadati; Bacteroidota.
UGGGGAAUUUUGCACAAUGGGGGAAACCCUGAUGCAGCGACGCCGCGUGAUUUAGAAGGCCUUCGGGUUGUAAAAAUCUUUUCUAUGGGAAGAAAAUGACAGUACCAUAGGAAGAAGGACCGGCUAACUACGUGCCAGCAGCCGGGGUCAUACGUAAGGUCCGAGCGUUGUCCGGAAUCAUUGGGCGUAAAGGGUACGUAGGCGGGUAAGCAAGUUAGAAGUGAAAUCCUGUAGCUCAACUACAGUAAGCUUUUAAAACUGCUAAUCUUGAGAUAUGGAAGGGAAAGUGGAAUUCCUAGUGUAGCGGUGAAAUGCGCAGAUAUUAGGAGGAAUACCGGUGGCGAAGGCGACUUUCUGGCCAUAAUCUGACGCUGAGGUACGAAAGCGUGGGUAGCAAACAGG